This 460-nucleotide ribosomal RNA is filed under the name uncultured bacterium. Its description in RNAcentral is "partial 16S ribosomal RNA". It matches the Rfam family "Bacterial small subunit ribosomal RNA", at positions 338 to 795 of the family's 1533-position model. The record is from RNAcentral.
CCUACGGGUGGCAGCAGUGAGGAAUAUUGGUCAAUGGACGAGAGUCUGAACCAGCCAAGUAGCGUGAAGGAUGACUGCCCUAUGGGUUGUAAACUUCUUUUAUAUGGGAAUAAAAUGUUCCACGUGUGGGAUUUUGUAUGUACCAUAUGAAUAAGGAUCGGCUAACUCCGUGCCAGCAGCCGUGGUAAUACGGAGGAUCCGAGCGUUAUCCGGAUUUAUUGGGUUUAAAGGGAGCGUAGGUGGAUUGUUAAGUCAGUUGUGAAAGUUUGCGGCUCAACCGUAAAAUUGCAGUUGAAACUGGCAGUCUUGAGGACAGUAGAGGUGGGCGGAAUUCGUGGUGUAGCGGUGAAAUGCUUAGAUAUCACGAAGAACUCCGAUUGCGAAGGCAGUUCACUGGACUGCAACUGACACUGAGGCUCGAAAGUGUGGGUAUCAAACAGGAUUAGAUACCCUGGUAGUC